UUGUGAAUGUUCUCACUGUUCUGAUUUUUGUAAUAAUUAGAACAGGUUAAACAUUUGCUAUAUUAAGUCCAUACAUGUGUCCCCAGACCUAAUUCUUUCCCUGGUUCUGAUUUUAUAAAUGCUGGUGAUAAAC
This is a small nucleolar RNA of Sciurus vulgaris (Eurasian red squirrel), 133 nucleotides long. Its record names the gene SNORA72. It matches the Rfam family "Small nucleolar RNA SNORA72". From Rfam's summary of the family: U72 is a member of the H/ACA class of snoRNAs. The snoRNA gene is located in intron 4 of the ribosomal L30 protein gene in human, mouse and chicken. The record is from Ensembl. NCBI's taxonomy places the organism in Eukaryota, Metazoa, Chordata, Mammalia, Rodentia, Sciuridae.